This 417-nucleotide ribosomal RNA is filed under the name Leptographium reconditum. RNAcentral describes it as "eukaryotic LSU rRNA". It matches the Rfam family "Eukaryotic large subunit ribosomal RNA", at positions 1 to 419 of the family's 3401-position model. Lineage: Eukaryota; Fungi; Ascomycota; Sordariomycetes; Ophiostomatales; Ophiostomataceae. The record is from RNAcentral.
UUGACCUCGGAUCAGGUAGGACUACCCGCUGAACUUAAGCAUAUCAAUAAGCGGAGGAAAAGAAACCAACAGGGAUUGCCCCAGUAACGGCGAGUGAAGCGGCAACAGCUCAGAUUUGGAAUCUGGCCCCCAGGGCCCGAGUUGUAAUCUGGAGAGGAUGCUUCUGGCGCGGCGCCUUCCGAGUUCCUGGAACGGGACGCCGGAGAGGGUGAGAGCCCCGUACGGUUCGGACGCCCAGCCUUUGUGAAGCUCCUUCGACGAGUCGAGUAGUUUGGGAAUGCUGCUCAAAAUGGGAGGUAAAUUUCUUCUAAAGCUAAAUAUUGGCCAGAGACCGAUAGCGCACAAGUAGAGUGAUCGAAAGAUGAAAAGCACUUUGAAAAGAGGGUUAAACAGUACGUGAAAUUGUUGAAAGGGAAG